This 520-nucleotide ribosomal RNA is filed under the name uncultured bacterium. RNAcentral's name for it is "bacterial SSU rRNA". It matches the Rfam family "Bacterial small subunit ribosomal RNA", at positions 8 to 518 of the family's 1533-position model. The record is from RNAcentral.
AGGGUUCGAUUCUGGCGUCAGGAUGAACGCUAGCGGCAGGCCUAAUACAUGCAAGUCGUACGGUAAAUGGCCCCUUCGGGGGCAUGAGAGUGGCGGACGGGUGCGUAACGCGUAUGCAACCACGCCCCCCUCUCCGGGAUAGCCGGUGGAAACGCCGGAUAAGUACCGGGUGCGCCCCUGUGGAGGCAUCUCCAUGCGGGCAAGGCGGAGACGCGGAGGGGACGGGCAUGCGUCCCAUUAGAUUGUAGCGGGGUGACGGCCCACCUAGUCGACGAUGGGUAGGGGAUCUGAGAGGACGGUCCCCCACACUGGUACUGAGACACGGACCAGACUCCUGCGGGAGGCAGCAGUAAGGGAUAUUGGGCAAUGGGGGGCAACCCUGACCCAGCCCCAUGCCGCGUGAGGGAAGUAGGCCCUACGGGUCGUGAACCUCUUUUAUUCGGGGACAAUGGCGGCGUCGGGAACGCCGUUUGAGGGUACCGAAGGAAUAAGCGUCGGCUAACUCCGUGCCAGCAGCCGC